GAUGAAGAACGUAGUGAAAUGCGAUAAGUAGUGUGAAUUGCAGAAUUCAGUGAAUCAUCGAAUCUUUGAACGCACAUUGCGCCCUUUGGUAUUCCUUAGGGCAUGCCUGUUCGAGCGUCAUUUAAACCUUCAAGCUCAGCUUGGUGUUGGGUGACUGUCCGCUUCACCGCGGACUCGCCUCAAAAUUAUUGGCGGCCGGUACAUUGGCUUCGAGCGCAGCAGAAACGCGAACUCGGGCCCGUCGUAUUGGCUCCCAGAAGCUAUCUUCACAAUUUUGACCUCGCAUCAGGUAGGGAUACCCGCUGAACUUAAGCAUAUCAAUAAGCGGAGGA
RNAcentral lists this unclassified non-coding RNA (332 nucleotides) under soil metagenome. Its description in RNAcentral is "partial contains 5.8S ribosomal RNA, internal transcribed spacer 2, and large subunit ribosomal RNA". The stretch from base 1 to 120 matches the Rfam family "5.8S ribosomal RNA", at positions 35 to 154 of the family's 154-position model. The record is from RNAcentral.